UACGUAGGGUGCAAGCGUUGUCCGGAAUUAUUGGGCGUAAAGAGCUCGUAGGCGGUUUGUCGCGUCUGCUGUGAAAACCCGAGGCUCAACCUCGGGCCUGCAGUGGGUACGGGCAGACUAGAGUGCGGUAGGGGAGAUUGGAAUUCCUGGUGUAGCGGUGAAAUGCGCAGAUAUCAGGAGGAACACCAGUGGCGAAGGCGGUGCUCUGGGCCGGAACUGACGCUGAGGAGCGAAAGCGUGGGGAGCAAACAGG
Molecule: ribosomal RNA, 253 nt
Filed under: uncultured bacterium
Lineage: Bacteria
Description: partial 16S ribosomal RNA
Rfam family: Bacterial small subunit ribosomal RNA
Source: RNAcentral